AUGAAUGUGUCAGUCGCCCGUAGCUCAUUCAGAAGCAACCGUGGCAGUUUUAACACGGCAACGUGUAAUCUCGCUUAUUCCUCACACACAUACAUCAUUUACAGUAAGAAGAGCGGAACUCAGUCAGAGCUUUGCCCAACAUCACACCACCAGUUAAAAAAAAAAAAGUCGAGGUUCGAACACACUCCGGAAGGCUCCAAGCCCCCAGGUUCGCCUAACACAGAAUCCCGCUGCCGAAGCCCCAGGGUUCUCCGCCUAGAACGGAUCCUGCAAACGCAGCAGCCGCCGCGUUCCCAGGUUGCGGCCCCCCGAUCCACUUCCCGGCCCCAGUUGUCUUCCUCGGACGGCCGCCGGGCGGUGAUGGUGGGCUCCAAGCUCCGCCCGUCCCGUCCUCCCCGGCCGCCCCGCCCCGAAGCGCGCGUGGGAACGCGGCGUCCUCCCCGGGGCUGCCCGCGACGACUGCCUGCGCGCAUCCGGGAGGGCUCUCCCGGCCCCCGGCCGGGUCUCCACCCGCCGCCGCCAUCGCUUCCCGGCCUCCGCCUCCCCGCCGCCGGGCGCACGCAGGGGCCGGCGCCCUGGGAGCGCGCCGCCGUGUUUCCCUUUUCCGGCCGGCACCGCCGCGGACACCUCACAUCCGGGCGCGCGGCGGCGAAGGCGGUGCUGGGGCCCGGGUGCGUGGAGGGAGUUAUUAAGGGGGAGGGGGCCGGGGAGGAGGGGCGGAGGGCUGGGCCGCGGUUACGGCGGCUGAAGGGAGACAGCCCGGGCGGGUGGGGGGGGCAAGAGCGAAGGCCGCGCGGAGCAGCUCUCGGGCCGGCGCGGGCGGCGGGGAGGGGAGCGGCGGCCGAGGCAACCAGUAAGGGCCGGGCGGCAGCGGCGGGGUCUGGGGCUCCGCGCGCCUGGGCCCGCGGGGAGAGAAGGGGCGCGGGCGCGCUGAGCCCCGGGGUCGCGUGCGUGAGCGCGAGCGCCGAGGCGCGCGCGGGGGGCAGGCAGGGACCAGAGGCCAGCGGGGCGGCUGGCGGGCAGCGGGCGGGCUGGCGGGGCCCGAGCCGCCGGGCCGGGGCGGACGGCGGCGGGCCUGCGCCGGCUCCAGCUUGGAGCACCGGGGCUGGGGGAUUCGGCCCUCCUGCUCGCUCUGGCCCGCCUCCCCUCAGUGAGUACUGUCCCCGCCCUUCCUCCGAAGGCGGCUGCUGGGCCAGGGCCUGCGCGAGAGGCCGGGGGUUGGGGUCGCGGCCCCGGGAAGCCGAGUUUUGGAUCUGA
Long non-coding RNA from Bos grunniens (domestic yak), 1257 nucleotides. The record is from Ensembl. Lineage: Eukaryota; Metazoa; Chordata; Mammalia; Artiodactyla; Bovidae.